Long non-coding RNA from Notolabrus celidotus (New Zealand spotty), 401 nucleotides. RefSeq lists it as uncharacterized. The transcript is spliced from 2 exons. NCBI's taxonomy places the organism in Eukaryota, Metazoa, Chordata, Actinopteri, Labriformes, Labridae. The record is from RefSeq and is a predicted model, not a curated record.
UCCAAAAAAGUACAUAAAGGACUACAACACAAGACAUGGAUCACUAAACACAAGGAGGACAUAAGGAUAACUUAUAACAGAAUAAACACGGGGAGGAACCAAGGCAUGAAACACAAGCGAUGCCUUCCAGCUCCUGCUUGGGGAUCCCGAGGCGCUGCCAAGCCAGGUGGGACAUAUAAUCCCUCCAGCGAGCUCUUGGUCUACCCCGGGGGGCCUCAUCCCAGUAGGAUGUGCCAGGAACACAUCCAAAGGGAGGUGCGCAGGAGGCAUCCUUAAUCAAAGCCUGAACCAUCUCAGCUGAGGUUUGGACCUGGGCGUGCUGAUCCCCGGCGGCAUAGACCGGUUCUUGGGAAGGAGUCAGUUCCAACACAUCAAUCUGAAAUUAAAACUCUUGACACACA